RNAcentral lists this ribosomal RNA (618 nucleotides) under Triticum aestivum (bread wheat). RNAcentral describes it as "partial small subunit ribosomal RNA". Lineage: Eukaryota; Viridiplantae; Streptophyta; Magnoliopsida; Poales; Poaceae. The record is from RNAcentral.
AUGCGCACUAACUUCUCCAAGUGCGCGACAUCCCCCAUCCAGUGCACGGCUGACGACCGCGCCGCGAUCGCGUCCAGCUUCGCGUGCCCGGUCAAGGACUUCCCCACCACUUAUCUCGGCUUGCCCCUGUCCAUCCGGAAGGUCAGCACUGCAACCCUUCAACCUCUCCUCGACAAGCUCGAGCGUCGGCUCUCGCCAUGGUGGGCAUCCAUGAUGUCGCGUGGCGACCGUCUCGCCCUUUGCCGCCACGUCUUGUCCGCAAUGCCGGUGCAUACUCUCAUCGCGCUGGCGAUCAACCCCACCGUCCUCAAGCAAAUCAACCGCCUGCUGCGAAGUUUCCUUUGGUACGGGCGCAAGGACGCGAGCGGCAGUCACUGCCUUGUCAGCUGGCGUCACGCAUGCCGGCCCAUCGCUCCGGGCGGCCUGGGCAUCCCCGAUCUCCAGCGCAUGGGCACUUCUCUCCGCACCCGCUGGCUUUGGCUCCAAAUAACAGACCCCUCCCGCCCUUGGCAGCAUCUGCAUAUCCCCCAUUGCCCUGACGUCCAAGCCUUCUUUCCAGUGGCGGAGCCACCUCCCGGCUACCCGGGGCAGCUGCCCGGACUCAGCCAUGCACUCUAG